This 1298-nucleotide long non-coding RNA is filed under the name Olea europaea (common olive). RNAcentral describes it as "long non-coding RNA (OEUR_LNC007611)". The record is from RNAcentral. Lineage: Eukaryota; Viridiplantae; Streptophyta; Magnoliopsida; Lamiales; Oleaceae.
AAAAUUCUUGAAGAUUUACAUGUCAAGCAAGUAAGAUCUACUACAAUUUUUUUGUGACAGCAGCUCGGCCAUUAAUUAAACUUUCUAAAAAUCCUGUGUUACACGGAAGAAGCAAAUAUAUUGAUGUAAAGUAUUAUUUUUUAAGUGAUCUGGACAAUGAUGGAACAAUUGAUCUAAAGAUCAGUUGGCCUAUAUUAUAUUCACUAAACCUCUAAAUUUCUUCCCUUACAAAAUCUAAGAAGGUUUUUGGGCAUUUGCACCUUGAGAAGUUAUGCUUGAAGAAGGAGGUGCACAAAUAAACUGACGUUUAAAAGCUUUCAAUUUAGGGGAGGGAUUGUCAUAAAUUUUAUUAUUUAUGGUUUGUAAGUUAAAGACUUGGUCUUUGUUAAUUCUUACAUGAGAAUAAAUGUUUACUUGGUCUAUAGGGUGUUAACUAAAUUUUCCUAGUCUAUAGGAUACCCCCAUUUUCUCGUGAUAAUGGCUGAUUUUUAUGUAAUUUGGUUAAUUCUCAUGGCCAUAAAUAGCCUAUUCCCCAAUUAAACUUAUGCUUCAGAUUUCCAUUCUUGUCGAGUAGGGUUUUUUCUUCUUUUUCUAUCAAUUAUAGAAAGAUAAAAGCAGUAGCUUUUCAUAUCCAUUUGGGAGUCCACAUUACUAUUUAUAUUUCUAUCAAUGCCUUGCCUGACGCUAAAGCUUUCUUACAUUAUUAGCGCUCAACAUUUAAGGUGGGGACUUAAACUUAUACACCUAGCAGCUCAAAGGGUGACUUGUCCAGCGGAAGCAAUUAGCCAAUUACUUGAUUAUAAAAUGCCAACUCCAACAUGGAAAUUUGCCAACUUGACUAACCAGCUCAGGUAAUAAAUCAAUCACUUGAUUCAAACUCUGGCCUUGACAAAAGCAAGAUAUCAACUCCUCAAUUCAAGCUCAACUUUGAUAAGAGCAAAUAAACAAUUCAUUGCCACUUCUUGACAUCGGUAUAGACAAGCUCUCGUACAACACCAAAAGUGCCUCCAUGUGUACACAAGGUGACUCUGUAUCAUCCUAUUUGAAGCACAUCUUCCUAUUGUCUGGAAGGUUGCCCAAUAAGGUACGAUCAUACCACUGGCGGCUAUCACUGCCUCUGUCAACGUAAUACUUGUACCUAUGGCCUAAAUUUAUCAUUAUAAAAAAAAUAUAAACAAUUAAUACUUUAGCCCGAUCAAUUGCAAGAAAGUUCAUUAUGUGAAAUAAUAGUCCAUACCUUUUUAUUUUAUUUUUUUCUUUUCGGGCUGAAGCCCAAGUAGUGUUUAUUUAAAUAAUGG